UACGUAGGGGGCAAGCGUUGUUCGGAAUUACUGGGCGUAAAGGGCGCGUAGGCGGCACAGCAAGUCGGGAGUGAAAGCCCGGGGCUCAACCCCGGAACGGCUUUCGAAACUGCUGAGCUAGAGUACAGAAGGGGCAACCGGAAUUCCCAGUGUAGCGGUGAAAUGCGUAGAUAUUGGGAAGAACACCUGAGGCGAAGGCGGGUUGCUGGGCUGAUACUGACGCUGAGGUGCGAAAGCGUGGGGAGCAAACAGG
This 253-nucleotide ribosomal RNA is filed under the name uncultured bacterium. Its description in RNAcentral is "partial 16S ribosomal RNA". It matches the Rfam family "Bacterial small subunit ribosomal RNA", at positions 524 to 776 of the family's 1533-position model. The record is from RNAcentral.